GGAAAAAAUCCGCUGCUUGGAACCUGCUAAAUGAGUCAUGAUUUCGCGUAAAAUGUGUUUUUUCAUGUUAUAAAUAUACACCACAAAAAAAGGUCAUAAUUUCAUGACUCAUGUUGCCGUAACGUCACCUUGGCGUUACGUUUUUAAUAUUUAUUGACAAAAAUUUAUAAGUUAAGUCAUGAUGUCAUGCCCAUGAAUACCAGAACUAUUAACUAGAUUUAUAAAACCAGAAGCGGUAUUCAUAGAACUUGUAGUUGUAAUUUAUGGUUCCAGUUUUAUUAGCGAAAUUUGAUAAGUCGGUUCAUAUUAUCAUGAAGUACGUACUCAAACUAUGAACUAAAUUUAUGAAAGCUUGAGCAUUACUCAUGGUGCAAGUAUUUGUCAUUUAUGGUACUGGAUCGAUUUGCGAAAAAUGGUAGUACUGGUCAUGUUAUCAUAAAGCAUGUUCUAAAUUUAUUACCUAAUAUAAAAACAUAAGCAGUAUGCAUGAUUCUAGUAUUUGUAAUUUAUACUAUCGGAUUAAUUGGUGCAAAGUGGCAUUUAAGGUCAUGUUAUCGUGAAGCACGCACUCUGAAAUCAUGAACAAGGUUCCUGAAUAUUGAAGUAAUUUUUAUGAUUCUGGUAUUUGUCAAUAUUUAUUCAUCAUUGUGCCUUCAACCUACUCAAUAGCCCGCAGUAAAUCGCGGGUGCUUUUGGGUAGAUCUACCGCUGGGAUUUUGAACAGAUGAGCCUGCAAGAACAUCCAGAGGGGCUUGCAGUCUGGUGCAUA
Molecule: long non-coding RNA, 769 nt
Organism: Aedes albopictus (Asian tiger mosquito)
Lineage: Eukaryota; Metazoa; Arthropoda; Insecta; Diptera; Culicidae
Exons: 2
Source: RefSeq, a predicted model, not a curated record